CCUACGGGGGACAGCAGUGGGGAAUAUUGCACAAUGGGGGAAACCCUGAUGCAGCGACGCCGCGUGAGUGAAGAAGUAUUUCGGUACGUAAAGCUCUAUCAGCAGGGAAGAAGAAAGACGGUACCUGACUAAGAAGCCCCGGCUAACUACGUGCCAGCAGCCGCGGUAAUACGUAGGGGGCAAGCGUUAUCCGGAUUUACUGGGUGUAAAGGGAGCGUAGACGGCUGUGCAAGUCUGAAGUGAAAGCCCAGGGCUCAACCCUGGGACUGCUUUGGAAACUGUGGAGCUAGAGUGCUGGAGAGGUAAGUGGAAUUCCUAGUGUAGCGGUGAAAUGCGUAGAUAUUAGGAGGAACACCAGUGGCGAAGGCGGCUUACUGGACAGUAACUGACGUUGAGGCUCGAAAGCGUGGGGAGCAAACAGGAUUAGAUACCCCUGUAGUC
Molecule: ribosomal RNA, 441 nt
Filed under: uncultured bacterium
Lineage: Bacteria
Description: partial 16S ribosomal RNA
Rfam family: Bacterial small subunit ribosomal RNA
Source: RNAcentral